Non-coding RNA from Pteropus alecto (black flying fox), 196 nucleotides. The record is from Rfam. Lineage: Eukaryota; Metazoa; Chordata; Mammalia; Chiroptera; Pteropodidae.
AUCGCUUCUCGGCCUUUUGGCUAAGAUCAAAGUGUAGUAUCAGUUCUUCCACCAACUGGCUAAAGAAAGUAUGUUACUGAAUUUGUGGAAGGAAAAAUAGAAUGACCAAACUUGGCAAGGCAGGUUUUCAUGCUAACCACUUUCUCUAUCUCCCCCCAAAAACGAAUCAAUAUCUUUUCGUCCGGGCAAAAAACUC